RNAcentral lists this ribosomal RNA (468 nucleotides) under uncultured bacterium. RNAcentral describes it as "partial 16S ribosomal RNA". It matches the Rfam family "Bacterial small subunit ribosomal RNA", at positions 28 to 507 of the family's 1533-position model. The record is from RNAcentral.
GACGAACGCUGGCGGCGUGCUUAACACAUGCAAGUCGAACGGAAAGGCCCUGCUUUUGUGGGGUUCUCGAGUGGCGAACUGGUGAGUAACACGUGAGUAGCCUCCCCUUGACUUUGGGAUAACUUCAGGAAACUGGUGCUAAUACCGGAUAGGAGCUCCUGCUGCAUGUUUGGGGUUGGAAAGUUUCGGUGGUUGGUGAUGGACUCGCGGCUUAUCAGCUUGUUGGUGGGGUAGUGGCUUACCAAGGCUUUGACGGGUAGCCGGCCUGAGAGGGUGACCGGCCACAUUGGGACUGAGAUACGGCCCAGACUCCUACGGGAGGCAGCAGUGGGGAAUAUUGCACCAUGGGCGGAAGCCUGAUGCAGCAACGCCGCGUGCGGGAUGACGGCCUUCGGGUUGUAAACCGCUUUCGCCUGUGACGAAGCGUGAGUGACGGUAAUGGGUAAAGAAGCACCGGCCAACUACGUG